UUGAACUGUUGAAACUCUUGAACUGUUUCAGCGCAUUUAUGAAGUUCAUGAUUUACAUAUCAGAAAGUUUUGCAUUUUCUGUAUGCUGUAUGCUAUUACACAUAUACUGUACAUGUUCAAGCUAUUGAAACAUUUAGUUUCAGUGAUAGUGUUUAUACUGCCAGGUCUGUUCUGGCUUUUUCAAUUAAAUAUAUCACGCUUUAGACAUUCAAAUGUGUCAAAUCUUGCAAAACUCAUAAACCAUGAUGCUGCAUGUUUGUGUGCAGGUUACAUAUUUAUAUAGUCAGUUGCAUCAUCGAUCGUCUCUUAAGUCAGAGGAAACACUGGCAGGUUGAGACGUUUGUACAGAGCCCCCCGACCAUGCCCGGCUCUUUCACGACGACCAGAAACAUAUUGCAGGAAAAGAGGCAGCCGUCAGUUUCCAGCCUAACACGGUGCAGGGCCACAGGCCCAGUGCGUCUCUCCAGGGACCGGCCCGCUCAAGAGGAGCUGAAGUGUGGCCGGGGUCCAGAGCCGCCCUCCUGCCAGAAGACAUUUAACAAGCUGGCAGUAAAAAACAGCGGAGACCUCAGCAUGGAAAUAUGGCCCAUGUUUAAGAUAAGGAGGAAAAUGUCUAAAUGAACACAUGGCGCUUUGUGAUGAGGACUUCCUGUGUACCAAAAAUGUACAAGCAGAAGGGAAUUCAAGGCACUCUUUCCAAAAUCCCAACAUUAUUGAGGAGAUGCGAGGACCGCCCUGCGCUCCUGAGAGACGGGAAGCUCGCUGAGAGCGGCACGCUUCACUACAGAAACACCUGCUUUUGUUAGCUCACUACGCCACUUACCCUCACCCUCAGGGACGUGCCAUAGGGAGGGAGGGGACUGAAGAGACACAAAGCAAACAAUGUCUCAGAGCUCCAUGUCAUCUGGAGAAGAAUACAGAGCCACGACUGCCUUAGAAAUGCUAAAGGUGGGACGCAGGGCAGCGUGCUUAACCGAAUACAGACUUCUGGGGUUGUGUACGAAGUCGUCUGUUGCUGUGAUGCAUCGUUUUCUUUUUUUUUCUUUUUUGACCACAUUUUCUUUUCUUUUUUUGACAUCGACUCUUUCAAGACACAAACAGCAUUAGGGAUUCGCAGAUAAAAUUGAUGUGCACCAGGCAGUUUUCUUCUCUCUGUUGUGCAUUAUUGAGGUCAUUGAAGCUGUUGGUGAUUUCUGAGAAGGAAAAACACAGACUGGAACUUUAAAUGUUAAUUAUAAG
Non-coding RNA from Paramisgurnus dabryanus, 1239 nucleotides. The record is from RefSeq and is a predicted model, not a curated record. NCBI's taxonomy places the organism in Eukaryota, Metazoa, Chordata, Actinopteri, Cypriniformes, Cobitidae.